CCUACGGCGAGCAGCAGUGGGGAAUAUUGGACAAUGGGCGAAAGCCUGAUCCAGCCAUGCCGCGUGUGUGAAGAAGGCCUUCGGGUUGUAAAGCACUUUCAGUGGGGAAGAAAGCCUUGGGGCUAAUACCCUCGAGGAAGGACAUCACCCACAGAAGAAGCACCGGCUAACUCCGUGCCAGCAGCCGCGGUAAUACGGAGGGUGCGAGCGUUAAUCGGAAUUACUGGGCGUAAAGCGCGCGUAGGCGGUCUGAUAAGCCGGUUGUGAAAGCCCCGGGCUCAACCUGGGAACGGCAUCCGGAACUGUCAGGCUAGAGUGCAGGAGAGGAAGGUAGAAUUCCCGGUGUAGCGGUGAAAUGCGUAGAGAUCGGGAGGAAUACCAGUGGCGAAGGCGGCCUUCUGGACUGACACUGACGCUGAGGUGCGAAAGCGUGGGUAGCAAACAGGAUUAGAUACCCGAGUAGUC
RNAcentral lists this ribosomal RNA (465 nucleotides) under Vreelandella stevensii. RNAcentral describes it as "partial 16S ribosomal RNA". It matches the Rfam family "Bacterial small subunit ribosomal RNA", at positions 338 to 795 of the family's 1533-position model. The record is from RNAcentral. Lineage: Bacteria; Pseudomonadati; Pseudomonadota; Gammaproteobacteria; Oceanospirillales; Halomonadaceae.